UACGUAGGGGGCAAGCGUUAUCCGGAUUUACUGGGUGUAAAGGGGGCGCAGACGGCGAUGCAAGCCAGGAGUGAAAGCCCGGGGCCCAACCCCGGGACUGCUCUUGGAACUGCGUGGCUGGAGUGAAGGAGGGGCAGGCGGAAUUCCUGGUGUAGCGGUGAAAUGCGUAGAUAUCAGGAGGAACACCGGUGGCGAAGGCGGCCUGCUGGACUGCAACUGACGUUGAGGCCCGAAAGCGUGGGGAGCAAACAGG
This 253-nucleotide ribosomal RNA is filed under the name uncultured bacterium. RNAcentral's name for it is "partial 16S ribosomal RNA". It matches the Rfam family "Bacterial small subunit ribosomal RNA", at positions 524 to 776 of the family's 1533-position model. The record is from RNAcentral.